ACCAUUAGACUCGUCGCUUGAAUCUUCCUUUUCAGUGGCAGCAGCAGGCACCUUAAGAAAACAACAACCUCCUCAAUAGAAGUGCUAUCAUCCUUAAAACUAUAUGCAUCACUUGACUCGUCACUAGAGUCUUCCUUUUCAAAGAGAGCAGUAGCACCUUCUUAACAACAGCAUUCUUCCUCCGUAGACCUACAAUCAUCUUCAGAACUAGAUCUAUCACUUCACACGUCUAUCUUAGAAGCUGCAGC
This 248-nucleotide long non-coding RNA is filed under the name Capsicum annuum. Its description in RNAcentral is "long non-coding RNA (CANN_LNC004259)". The record is from RNAcentral. Lineage: Eukaryota; Viridiplantae; Streptophyta; Magnoliopsida; Solanales; Solanaceae.